This 91-nucleotide transfer RNA is filed under the name Thermotogota bacterium. Its description in RNAcentral is "Thermotogae bacterium (oil production facility metagenome) tRNA-Ser". It matches the Rfam family "tRNA". From Rfam's summary of the family: Transfer RNA (tRNA) molecules are approximately 80 nucleotides in length. Lineage: Bacteria; Thermotogati; Thermotogota. The record is from RNAcentral.
GGAGAGGUGGCCGAGCGGCCUAAGGCGCACGCCUGGAGAGCGUGUGACCGCCACAAGCGGUCCGUGGGUUCAAAUCCCACCCUCUCCGCCA